UCAGCCCUGAUUUCUAGGGAAAUUGAAGAUUCCAGGCCAGACGUCACUGAGGAAUGCUGUGAAGGGGUGCUGAGCAUUGCAAGCUGUGUGUUGGGGGGAGAAAAGCACCCAGAUGUGUCACAACCAAAACUAAUCAGCAACUUGGAAAAAUGUCAGCAGGCCUCCAUGUGCUCUCCUCAGCCUGACUUUAUGAUGCCAACUUUGGGUCUAAGACAAAACAAAGGACAGAACUGGGAAGAGUGCUUCUUUGUCAUAAGUGAAACUCUGGGGUAGAUCCCUGCACCCCAAGAGACAGCAACAAAAACAAAACAAGUGAAAAAUCUAUGGUGGUGGAGUGCUUCUUGGAUUUCUCCCUCCCACCCACCCCCACCCCAAAUAAAAUAAAUAAUACUAAAACAUC
Long non-coding RNA from Erinaceus europaeus (western European hedgehog), 400 nucleotides. RefSeq lists it as uncharacterized. The record is from RefSeq and is a predicted model, not a curated record. Lineage: Eukaryota; Metazoa; Chordata; Mammalia; Eulipotyphla; Erinaceidae. The transcript is spliced from 2 exons.